RNAcentral lists this long non-coding RNA (3643 nucleotides) under Sus scrofa (pig). RNAcentral's name for it is "lncRNA (ENSSSCG00000059257.1)". The record is from RNAcentral. Lineage: Eukaryota; Metazoa; Chordata; Mammalia; Artiodactyla; Suidae.
AGUCCAUCAAGGCGAGUUCCUCCGUACAGUACUCCAGGGCUUAUAUAGGCAAUCCAAACCCAGCCAAAGCAAACCUCCCCAAACCCAACACUUCCAGCAUGUCCAAAAUGGGAGACAAGCGCCUAUGUAACCCGGGCCAAGGUAUAGUGCCAUCACGCUUUAACUUUUAUUGGGUGGGGCUUGUUAAAUUGCUGUGAAGAUAGCUUUCUCUGCGAGCGCAGGUUCCGCGGGGCCGCCUCUGCGCGCCAGCUUUCGGAGGGCAGUGCGCGUUCUGGCCACCCCCAGCAUACUGAUCCUGGGGCUAAUUUAUCCUACUCGGCAGCCACCGGGGAGAGGGACCCAGGUCUACACCCUCUUAGGUGCACACGAAUGUAAAAGAAUAUUUAUUUAGGGUGCAGGAACAACAACAAAAAAAAUCCACAUGUAUUUGAAAUUGGUAGAGAAAAGAAACAGAAACGACGUUUCUCCUGUCUACAGAUUCGGUCUGAGGAAGUGGGGGGGGGGUUUGAGAAGGACGCCAGGAAAUCGACGCUGGUGAUUUUAACACGCGAGGAAGGGGGAGCAUGCAAAUGUCCAGGGACAGUCCCUGCUUCUGGCUGAGUGUUAGUGGUUUUGUUUUUGUUUUUUAAAGAUUCCCCCCAGAACUUGAGGUUUAGAUUCCCCCCCGCAACCAAAGCCCCCAAAGCAUUUUCCAUUAUGGACUGGGGACACUGAGUCUGUCGCGUCUCCACAGUCUCAACUAAAUCCCUAAGAACUGCAUGAAAGGAAGCCUGGGUUUAUUCGAAUAGCACUGUCGAAAUUCUUAGUAUUUGUAAAUCGCCACAAGUUCUUUUGACACGGUGUCCUGGUGAGUGGACGGGUCACCUGAGGAGGUUGUAAUUCUUUUGCAGAAAAAUUUCGGAAACAUUAACACGGGGUCUGACGGAGUUUACAUGGUCCGAGGUCUUUCGUCUCAGCCGGGAAGCCGGAGUUUUGGGGAGGAGGAUUGUGGAUAUCCCAGUAGUCUGGGGACUAAUCCUUUAUCACGGGGUUACUGGUGCAGACCCCAAAGACAUUCAGGUUUUUGGGAGAGCAGGAUUCAGUGCUUUAAUCACUAUUUGCCAAAACUGCUCGUUUAUAAGCAAAUGAUAUUUGAAGCACCCUCAUUGCCAGAUAGAGAUUCUCUUAGGUUGGUUUAAGCAUGGCCGAUUAAUGAAGCCACUGUCAGCCUUCAGGGGAAAGUGGCAUCCUAUCAGGCCAAGCCGUGAGUGCCUCCAAGAUGGGCUUCAAUGGCCCCCCGGAAGGCGGGAGCGGCCGGGGAGUGAAGGCUCCCCGAGGCCCCGCAGCAGGUGAGUAGCCAGCCUCUAAUGAGGCCAGAGGGGGCGCCCCAAGGAGCCCACCCUCGCCUGGAGCAGCGAGGGACGUCGGAAGUACCCUGAGGGUUCUGGAUCCUCAAAACCAUGGCUUUGAUUUUUCGCGUCCCAAAUAUUCUGGGGAGCCACCUUUGAAGCCUACCCUGCAGGAUCCAGUCCCCGCCUCUCCCUCCAGACCGAGGCGCCGACCUCCGGUCUCAAAUUCGUUCCUCUUCCCCUUGGCCUCUGGUCGGGGCGCUGCCGAGCCAACUUCCAGGCCGGAGCCGCCAUCAGAACCGGAUCCAGCUCCAGCACCCGCACAGGUGUCAGCUUGAGCAGGGAUUAUGUAAUGGAUUUGGCAGCCCAGACUCUAACCAAACGGAAUUAAAGAGGGUGGGGUUUUCUCUUUUCCUUUUUCUGUUGACUACAACUGGUAUCAGGUGUACUUGAUCCGCGGCAGCAGGUGUUUUUUGCAGGAAAAGACCAACAUGAACGGCAGCCCAGGUCAAGGCGCUCUCGGAGGGCACCCCCCCCCCAGGUAGGCCUGGGGGCCCUAGGAUGAGCCUCCAGUGUUAAGGUCCCAAGCUGCUCACCUGAGGUCGCCCGCCGCCACAGCCUCAGGUGACCUGAAGUCCAGGCGCAAGGGGCGUGGAGAUGAUUGCCCCAACUCGAUCUCUGUUUUCUGGCCAAAGACCAUCUGGUGGAAACUGUGGGGUUCUACCCUACGACUCUUUGACUUUUAUUAGCCACCAAUUCCUUGCAAGUACGGCUGGGUGUGAAUUAGGAAGCAAAAUUAGAAGAUUCUAGUUAAAAUACCUUCACAGACUGACAAGGAGCUCCACCUUCAUCUGGGUAACUUUGCCUGAGAAUCGCUUAGGCUGGCACAGAUCUCUAAAAAUCAUCCAAAAAGAGCCAGUUUGGGACCCUUUCUAAGAUUCGAGACCAUGGGACUUUUGCUCAAUUAGAAUUAUGUAAACAUUUAACCAAUUUUGGUGAGCUGUAGAGGGGAUUUCAUGUACUGCCAGUCUCCAUUUUUAUUAUACAGAAAUGAAAGAAAAUUUAGGAAUGGUGGCAUCUCCCUCCCCACACCUUUUGUUUCCUUUUGGACACCAAAUAUUUGCUUUCAUGGAAUCUAAUGCUAAGGGCUGGUUUGAACCCCUUAGAGACCUAAGGAAGGGUUUGAGACAUAAAGAAACAAAUUCUCAGUCUUGGGGAGUGGGCUUAAUUUUGGAUAAAAUAAGGAAUAAUGUUUAAGUGACCAACUCUAAUGCUGAAUUUGAAUCUGUGUGAUUAGUCCCAACAGGACUAAUUCAUAGCAUUAAAAGUCAUAAGGUUAAAAACCAAGGCUUGGAGAGUUAUGACAGUAACUGUGAAGCCCUGUGGCCAGAGGCUGAGUGUCCAAGUGGUUAUUUACAGAUUUGGGCAUGUAUCCCAAAUCCUUAAUUCUUUACUGAUGAGUUCAACUGGAAACUCACUUUCAUAAAGAAUUGAGUUGUAGCUGUAGAUAUGAAAACAUGUCUCUUUGAAGUAGCUCCCAUUUAUUGAUAAAGCUGCCAGGUAAGGUUGGCAGACUCUUUUUGCUGAUAUUUACAUGGCCCCCCAAGUGUCCCUGUAUUGCUGUGUUAAUUGUAACAUGACCCCAGCAAUGACUACCUAUAAGGGAGAUUUUAGAAAAUCUUGUAAAAUAUUAGAAACAAGUAUUUUCUGCAGGGGAAUUUUUAAAACAAAGCUCAAACUAGCCCUAUUAAAUACAUCAUGUUCAAAACUAGUAGUGAAUUCCUGCUUUCCUUGGUGCUGUGGAAGCCAUUGAUUGUUAUCACAGGACCUCUCGGAAAAAGAAUCAGGAAGCGGCACCCCUACACACCCCCACCCCUUUUUUUUAAUGCACAAGAGUUUCUUCUUGAAUCCCAUUUGCUGGAUCUCAUCUGCCAGCUGAAGAUCCCCUCGUGAUCUGGGUAGGAACCAGCCCUGACAUGCAGCCUUGGGCUCCUGGGUGGAACUUGGAGAUAAAACUAUGUUUUCUUGUCAAAGGACAAAAUGAUUUUGUUCAGAAUCGGGUUGUGUUUUCAAGUUACCUUUCCAUCUAAUCAUGUGGUGCUUAAAAAACUGAUAAACUCCUGGGGGGGAGGGGGUGUCACCAAUGAACUAAUUUCAGAUUGGGUUUUUUCCUUGAGUCCUCGUAAAGGGUUCCAAACCUUCAAAGGGGGCAGGCCAGACAUCACUGGGGCUGCUUGGUGUCUAAGUCAAGCCUGGGGGUUAGGGGGAGCAUUUUGCUAACAAGAAAGAUGAAUUCUCCAAGGUUGUAGAUGAUU